This 1455-nucleotide unclassified non-coding RNA is filed under the name uncultured Neocallimastigales. RNAcentral's name for it is "partial contains small subunit ribosomal RNA, internal transcribed spacer 1, 5.8S ribosomal RNA, internal transcribed spacer 2, and large subunit ribosomal RNA". The stretch from base 677 to 1455 matches the Rfam family "Eukaryotic large subunit ribosomal RNA", at positions 1 to 630 of the family's 3401-position model. The record is from RNAcentral. Lineage: Eukaryota; Fungi; Neocallimastigomycota; Neocallimastigomycetes; Neocallimastigales.
AAAAGUCGUAACAAGGUUUCCGUAGGUGAACCUGCGGAAGGAUCAUUAAAAAAUUGGACUCCAUUGGUGAGUUCAUUAAUAAUCCCUACCCUUUGUGAAUUUGUUUGUUUGAAUAAUUUUUUUUCCAAAAAAAAAUUAUUGAAUGUCUUUCCCUGUUUUGGUGGAGCUUGUAAAGUGAAACCAGGCAGGGGAAUGGCAAACAAUAAUUAUUUUUGAAAAAAGACCUUUUUUUAAAAUUAAACUUUUUGUAUUCAUUUGUCUAAAAUUAUUUUUAUAAUAUAAAAACAACUUUUGACAAUGGAUCUCUUGGUUCUCGCAACGAUGAAGAACGCAGCAAAAUGCGAUAAGUAGUGUGAAUUGCAGAAUACGUGAAUCAUCGAAUCUUCGAACGCAUAUUGCACUUUUUUAGUUUACUAAAAAAGUAUGUCUGUUUGAGUAUCAGUAAAAUAUUCUCAUAAAAAACAUCGUUUUUUUAUGGUUAUGAGUGUUUUACAACGAUAACAAGUUGUUUCACUUUAAAUUCUUUGUUAUCAAAAAAAUCAUUAAAAGCUAAUUUUAAAGAUUUUUUAAAUUGGAUAAAAUUUCCCCGUAAAAAGGAAUAACCUAAACAAUUUUAAAAAAUUAAAAUUGGUUUGAUUUUUUUUGAAACCCAAAGGAAAAAAAAACGAAAUUAACUUGAUCUCAAAUCAGAUAAGAGUACCCGCUGAACUUAAGCAUAUCAAUAAGCGGAGGAAAAGAAACUAACUAGGAUUCCCUCAGUAACGGCGAGUGAAGCGGGAAGAGCUCAAAUUUGAAAUCUUCAAGGUUUUACCUUGACGAAUUGUAGUUUAAAGAAGUGUUUUCUGUUGGAGUUUUGGUAAAAGUUCUUUGGAAAAGGACAUCAUAGGGGUGAGAAUCCCGUAUUUGACCAUUAUCUCCAGCUUUGUGAUACACUUUCAAAGAGUCGGAUUGUUUGGGAAUGCAGUCCAAAAUGGGUGGUAAAUUUCAUCUAAAGCUAAAUACUGGCGAGAGACCGAUAGCGAACAAGUACCGUGAGGGAAAGAUGAAAAGAACUUUGAAAAGAGAGUUAAACAGUACGUGAAAUUGUCAAAAGGGAAGCGUUUGACACCAGUGUUGUUUUCUCGAAAAUCAAUUAAAAAAGGCCGGAUUUUGUGUUGUAUUGACUUUAUCAGCUUUCUGCACUUUUUUCUUGUCUUUUUUAAUGCACUUUUCGUUUAACAAGUCAACAUCAAUUUCUUUUGUUGUAAAAGGGUCAUUGGAAGGAGGCUUUCUUUUCGGAGAAAGUGUUUAUAGCCUUUGGCCUCUGCAAUCGGAGAGAUUGAGGUCUGCAGCGUAGAUCCUUCGGGGUUAGAUACAUUUGUGCUAAGUUAUAGCCUUUCAUAGACAACUUGUUGACUAUGAUCAGUCAUGUAGCUUACUCGCUUAUGCUAUUUUACCUACGCUUAGGAUGUUGAA